UACGAAGGGGGCUAGCGUUGUUCGGAAUUACUGGGCGUAAAGCGCGCGCAGGCGGUCUUCCAAGUCAGUGGUGAAAGCCCGGAGCUCAACUCCGGAAAUGCCAUUGAAACUGUGAGACUUGAGGAUGAGAGAGGUGAGUGGAAUUCCCAGUGUAGAGGUGAAAUUCGUAGAUAUUCGGAAGAACACCAGUGGCGAAGGCGACUUACUGGACACAUAUUGACGCUGAGGUGCGAAAGCGUGGGGAGCAAACAGG
This 253-nucleotide ribosomal RNA is filed under the name uncultured bacterium. Its description in RNAcentral is "partial 16S ribosomal RNA". It matches the Rfam family "Bacterial small subunit ribosomal RNA", at positions 524 to 776 of the family's 1533-position model. The record is from RNAcentral.